Molecule: long non-coding RNA, 1145 nt
Organism: Actinia tenebrosa (Australian red waratah sea anemone)
Lineage: Eukaryota; Metazoa; Cnidaria; Anthozoa; Actiniaria; Actiniidae
Source: RefSeq, a predicted model, not a curated record
UCAUGAGAAAAGACCAGAAAUCCUUCUGCAACCAAAGCAGGUACAAGGAAGUCGCUAUACCGUCCAGAAUGCUCGCCAAAGCCAUGGCUUAUAAAUAUCARAGCUCUGGAUAAUAGAAGUACCAAGGGAGUAAUAACUGGUGUUGCAAGCCCCGCAUCGAUCCAUUGGGCGAAGGAGCGGCUACCUUAACGAGGUCGGAAGAGAAUGGUAUAGCAACUGUGGAUGCUCUUGGAGCUUUACAACAAAGAUACGAAGAGGUGUCCGACCAAGCCUUGGAAGACUACAGCUUGAGGUGAAUGCAAUAGGCCUUUUGCAGGACAUGAUCACGUGGCUCAGUGUUAACUGACUGGCAAAAACUAGAAAUUCGGACUUUCCUUAUCUAAAAUACGUUUUGCUGGUUUACUAAUCUAAUAUCCAAAACCUUUUUCAAAAUGCAAUUUUUUUCUUGUAACAUGCCUUCUAUUUCAAUAUACUAUAAACAUUUUUAGUUAAAUUAUGUUUGCCAGUCAGCAAGCCUUCCCCAAGUGGCCUCACUUUGGCUGAAUUGAUUCCUUAUCAAUUGAUUUAUAUCAGCACGUGACUGUUUGAUGGCAAAAGCCUAUAUUGAAUACUUUAAAAAAUAUCCAUGAAAUAAUGAAAAUUGUUUUAAUACGAUGUUCAUGUAUGCAAUGUAUUUGAUGAAAUAUUUAUGUUGUGAAAUUGAAUGAAUAAAUGAAUGCAAUUUAUGAAAUGAAAUCUUUAUGAAAGUGAAUUCGUAAUUGAAUAAUAAUUGUUAAAAAAUCAAUCUAUUUUAAAGAUUAAUUCAUCCAAAAUUUCAAAGAUGAUACAGAAGGUUUCAAGGUUUUCUACUGAUUAAGAGCUGUUGUUUUCUUUUUGUCUCCAUUGUCACGUGGGAAAAGUGGGGGAGUGAUACUUUCCCAAUCGGACACAAAGAUUCCUUCUCGACUAGUCGGUCUGUCUUCUGUUAAGGUUUUAUUCGACCUUGUACAAUGCAUGUUUAGGCUUACUGGAACUAUAUGAUUUGACAAAGUGUUUCAACUUGAAAUGUCAUGUUUUGUGAACUUAACUUACUGGAAUAUGACGAUUAUCUUUGUUCAGUAUUUUAUCAUACAACUCUUCAAUCCGAAAGGUCAAUUAAGAAUAGC